UAAUCGGAAUGAGUACACUCUAAACCCUUUAACGAGGAUCAAUUGGAGGGCAAGUCUGGUGCCAGCAGCCGCGGUAAUUCCAGCUCCAAUAGCGUAUAUUAAAGUUGUUGCGGUUAAAAAGCUCGUAGUCGAAUUUGUGUCCCGCGCCGCCGGUUCAUCGCUCGCGGUGUUAACUGGCGUGUCCGCGGGACGUCCUGCCGGUGGGCUUAGCCUUCGCGGGCGGCCCAAUCUCAAUCCCACCGCGGUGCUCUUCACUGAGUGUCGAGGUGGGCCGGCACGUUUACUUUGAACAAAUUAGAGUGCUUAAAGCAGGCUAAAACAUCGCCUGAAUACUGUGUGCAUGGAAUAAUGGAAUAGGACCUCGGUUCUAUUUUGUUGGUUUUCGGAACCCCGAGGUAAUGAUUAAUAGGAACGGAUGGGGGCAUUCGUAUUGCGACGUUAGAGGUGAAAUUCUUGGAUCGUCGCAAGACGGACAGAAGCGAAAGCAUUUGCCAAAAACGUUUUCAUUGAUCAAGAACGAAAGUUAGAGGUUCGAAGGCGAUCAGAUACCGCCCUAGUUCUAACCAUAAACGAUGCCAGCUAGCGAUCCGCCGACGUUCCUCCGAUGACUCGGCGGGCAGCUUCCGGGAAACCAAAGCUUUUGGGUUCUGGGGGAAGUAUGGUUGCAAAGCUGAAACUUAAAGGAAUUGACGGAAGGGCACCACCAGGAGUGGAGCCUGCGGCUUAAUUUGACUCAACACGGGAAACCUCACCAGGCCCGGACACCGGAAGGAUUGACAGAUUGAGAGC
RNAcentral lists this ribosomal RNA (789 nucleotides) under Epirinus sp. sp93. RNAcentral describes it as "SSU rRNA". It matches the Rfam family "Eukaryotic small subunit ribosomal RNA", at positions 506 to 1255 of the family's 1831-position model. The record is from RNAcentral. Lineage: Eukaryota; Metazoa; Arthropoda; Insecta; Coleoptera; Scarabaeidae.